UGCAAUCCAUCAUUCCAGCUC
RNAcentral lists this non-coding RNA (21 nucleotides) under Arabidopsis thaliana (thale cress). The record is from RNAcentral. Lineage: Eukaryota; Viridiplantae; Streptophyta; Magnoliopsida; Brassicales; Brassicaceae.